UGGGGAAUAUUGCACAAUGGGGGAAACCCUGAUGCAGCAACGCCGCGUGAAGGAUGAAGGUUUUCGGAUCGUAAACUUCUAUCAACAGGGACGAAACAAAUGACGGUACCUGAAUAAGAAGCCCCGGCUAACUACGUGCCAGCAGCCGCGGUAAUACGUAGGGGGCAAGCGUUAUCCGGAAUUACUGGGUGUAAAGGGAGCGUAGGCGACACGUCAAGCCAGAUGUGAAAGCCCGGGGCUUAACCCCGUGGAUUGCAUUUGGAACUGGCGAGCUAGAGUACAGGAGAGGAAAGCGGAAUUCCUAGUGUAGCGGUGAAAUGCGUAGAUAUUAGGAAGAACACCAGUGGCGAAGGCGGCUUUCUGGACUGAAACUGACGCUGAGGCUCGAAAGCGUGGGGAGCAAACAGGAUUAGAUACC
RNAcentral lists this ribosomal RNA (418 nucleotides) under uncultured bacterium. RNAcentral describes it as "bacterial SSU rRNA". It matches the Rfam family "Bacterial small subunit ribosomal RNA", at positions 355 to 786 of the family's 1533-position model. The record is from RNAcentral.